CUGCGGACCCGUGGUGAUUUGUUACCGGAUUGCGGACCACGUUAAACAAUUCGCUAAAAGGUCACGGGAAAGGCCCC
This 77-nucleotide non-coding RNA is filed under the name Roseovarius nanhaiticus. Lineage: Bacteria; Pseudomonadati; Pseudomonadota; Alphaproteobacteria; Rhodobacterales; Roseobacteraceae. The record is from RNAcentral.